AUAGCCCUGCGAUGUACGUGACUUCCGAUAGUUUUGAGCCACAAAGUCUUUUUAGGGAGUUUUUCGUCCGCAAUCGCGAGGACAUGCCUCCAUCGAGUGGACGUCCGGGACGGUUGGGCAAGACACCCACCUGCGAUGAGCAGGUUCAAAACUGUAGGAGCAGCACGGCAUUUUGGGGCUCCU
Brevibacillus borstelensis AK1 is the source of this 183-nucleotide non-coding RNA. It matches the Rfam family "6S / SsrS RNA". From Rfam's summary of the family: E. coli 6S RNA was the first non coding RNA to be sequenced, but its function was unknown until recently. It consists of 184 nucleotides that fold into an extended hairpin structure with a large single-stranded internal bulge. The 6S RNA specifically associates with RNA polymerase holoenzyme containing the sigma70 specificity factor. The record is from Rfam. Lineage: Bacteria; Bacillati; Bacillota; Bacilli; Caryophanales; Paenibacillaceae.